Carya illinoinensis is the source of this 2154-nucleotide long non-coding RNA. RefSeq lists it as uncharacterized. NCBI's taxonomy places the organism in Eukaryota, Viridiplantae, Streptophyta, Magnoliopsida, Fagales, Juglandaceae. The transcript has 2 exons. The record is from RefSeq and is a predicted model, not a curated record.
CUGGCAUUGGUCUCGGUAAAAUGAAGAAAACUUCAAAAUUUGAAUGGUUUGGAGGUUAAAACGCUGGCAUUGGAUUCGGCAAACGGUAAAAGUCAAGCUUUGAGCUACAGUAAAUUUAGUUUCACCUUCAUCUUUGAAGACUCACUGUUUACCGUCUAUCACAUUAUUUUAUUAUAAAAUCACUUCUUUCAACUGCUCCUUUCCUUUUCGCCCGUGAUUCCGUUUCUUUCUCACCAUUUCUCUUCCUCUGCCUUUCUUCCUCUCCCAGACGUUUCUUUCGCCUGUGAAUCCGAAAAAAAAAUUUCAUUUCUCUCUUUCAAUUUUUGCUCUCCAUUUUCUCUCUUCUUUUUCUCUUUCUCUAUCUCUCUCUCUUCCCUCUAGAGCCCGAUACUCCCUCUCUCCCUUUCUCUCCAUUUUUGAUUUAGUUUUUGCUAAACCCAACCUCAUAAACUCACCCUUCUCAAUCUAAAUCACGCUUGAGGAGCAUAAGGAAAUUUUAGUGAUGUCGUUCAAGUAAAUCGCUCUUGAGGGGUUGAGGAAAUCACUGCCCAAUCCAGGAAAUCACAACUUGAGACGAAAGGACUCGUAACUUUUUUACCCAUCAAUGCGGUUGCUAAGCAGCGGUAGCCUUUUACUUCAAUUUUUCCUUCUUUUGUGUGCGUGAGUGUGUGUGUGUUUUUUUUUUUAAUUAUUAUUGUUGGUGACAUUCCUUUUCUUGUUACCAGGUUGGUUAAUAAUUCGUGCUUUUUUCUAUUAAGAUUCGCUUUGCUUUUAUCCAUUUCUUGAAACUUUUACAAUCCCCAAACAGCUUCCCUAACUUGGAUAUUGAACUCUAUAUUCCUGUGAUUAUUAUGCCAUGGGUGCAUGUACCCAUUUUUUCUUUCAGAAAAAAAUCUUUGAACAAUGCCAUUUUAUAAAUAUUUAGUGGUUAAGUGCAUAUUUAGAAGGAAAGCAUCUACUCAACAACUUGUAUAUCUGAAUUGUUUGAACAGUCAAUGCUUUGUCUAAUGAGCAGGCUCAGAAGAGAAUUUUUUCUGAUAAGAUAAAUUUUGCAGUCUGUGUAACUAAUUAUUUGUUGGAAUAGGGUAAUUAUGUGGUUCAAGUGCUUGGGAUUGUUGAUCGAUGCUUGUAGUAUUGAUUUUUGAAUUCACAAAUAUGCUUUCUAAAAGAUAGGAUUUAAAGACUAAGAAAGCAAUUCUUGAAAAAAGUGGAGGUUACAGUAUUGCAGAAGUAGCUGCAAAUAAGAGGGUUUUAAGGAUUUUUUGGUUGGUCAUUUGAUGGCUAAAGAGUGUGAAAACUAUAUGUGAAUUUGGGGUUUAAAUAGGUUAAAGAAACGGAUUUGUUUUGGGGGUAAGGAUAUAUCAUGCUUAACCAAGCUGUCUUUGUGGCAUCAACUACUGAGUUGAUGCUGACUGUCUUUUAACUUGCCAUAACUUUUUAAGAUUUCUCGUGAGUUGGCUAUAUUCCUGGAUUGAUUUCUUGUAUUAUCUAGUGUUAGAACUCUCUUGAUAUUUAGUUAUUAAGUUGAUUGAUUAUUUUGGUUCUUUCUUUUUCCCUGUUUAUCAUAUCUUCUUCUUGAGUCACUUUAUCAAGCUAAAAAAGUUCUCUUGUAUGAUUCCCCAGCGGUUAACAUGAGAUAUUAUAGAUUCUAUUCUCACAACCUUGAUAACAUUUUCAGUCAACAGUCCAAAGUCCCAGGUUUGAUCAUGCUUCUACCCUCAGUUUGAUUACUAAAUUUGAUCAUUGGAAUUUCCACAUUUUCUCAUCUUUAUUCUGAGGGUUCAUAUUAUCCUUCUGCUUUGUUUGUUUGAGAUCUGUGGUUGAUAAAUGACAUUUACUAUAGCCAAUGAGCAGACUGCUGCAAUAAUUGAUGGUAAGUCAAUUGCAGGGUAGAUUAUGUCCAGAAUAGCUUGUGAGGUCUGGAGGAUGAAGGAGUCCAUUGGAAGCGUUCCUGGAUUGGCUGUCAUUAUGGUGGGAUAGAGAAGGGACUCCCAAACUUAUGUACGCAACAAGAUAAAAGCUUGUCAUUAUGGGUUUUCAAUAUCUUUGUAUAGAAGAAUUGGUGGCCACUGAUAUUGCACUUAAGUGUGAUUUUUCCAAAUUGUAGAUGUAUAUAUUUGUUUCAUAAAUUGUAUAUAUAAUUGUUGGGUAGAA